Molecule: long non-coding RNA, 1681 nt
Filed under: Homo sapiens (human)
Lineage: Eukaryota; Metazoa; Chordata; Mammalia; Primates; Hominidae
Description: HSALNT0059829
Source: RNAcentral
UGAGGGUCAGAGCCAGCUGCCCUGCUGCCCAGCCCUUGAGGACACAGAGUCACACUCCUCUCCCACCCUCAAGUGCCUCGUGAACCCCUCUCUCCAGGAGGAGGGCAUCAUGACGCACUAGACCUGGCUGCAGGUGGUGAGUGAAUGUAGCUGCGCCCUGAGCAGAGGGGAGAGGGGCCAUGAGGAGGCUGUUUUGGGGCCCUUCUGGAGCAGGGCCGGAGAAGGGUAGGAGAUUGAAGAGGUGCAACCAGCGGAAAUGCCCAGCCCCGGGACCAGGGGACUAGGGACAGGAGCCUACCCUGUGCGGCUCUGAGGAGUGGCUGUGAGCACUGCACGCAGGACUGAGAAAGCCCGGGAUAAGCCCGGAGUGCAGGGAAACCCGCAGCCCCCUGGGCAGAUGUGGAGAAGAAUCUGGACAAGCUGACCGAGACCCCGGUACCGGGGGUCUCCGUGUGUGCCUGGCUGCGUGAUCAGGUGACCCCAGACUCUGAGGGCGUGGAACUGCUUUUGCCAGGAAAGCGCUCUGGGCAUGCUGUGUAGGGGUGAAUUACCCUUACCCCCUUCACCAAGACCCAGAACUGCCUUUCCUAGGGGUGAAGUAAGGUUUCCAGGGCCUCAUGUUGCAGAAAAAAAGAACCCUAAAUUAACAUACAGAGAGAUUAAAUUAUCUCCAUUCCCAAUCUGGCAUAUUUCCUAAACCUUAAAUAAUUUGAGAGGCUUCCAUGUGGGCUUCUGAGAAACAGGAGGGCAGCUGGGAGAACUUCCCACGCCCACAAGCCUUUGUGUGAAAAUCCCUAAAAAUAGAGGUUGUUCUUCUAAAAACAAAAGGGAAGGCUAAGCCAUGGGAACACUGACAGAACCUAACCUCUCGCUUCUGCUCCAGCAAAGACGCGUGUGAAGAUAUAGAACAUCAUAUUUGCCAUUUUUACCAUUUUAACUGUACAGUUCAGUGGUAUUAAUCACACACAAUAUUGUCCAACCAUCAUCGCUAUUUCCAAAACUUUCAUCGUCCCCAAUAGACACUCUGUACCCACUAAGUACUAACUCCCCGUUUCGUCUACCCUCAGAGGUAACUCCCCUCAUCUACUUCCCGUCUCUAUGGAUUUACCUAUUUUGUGUAUUUCAUGUAAGUAGAAUCAUACAAUACUUGUCCUUUUGUGUCUGGCUUACUUCACUCAGCAUAAUGUCCUCAAGGUUCAUCCAUGUUGUAGCAUGUGUCAGAAUUUCAUUCCCAGCAAAGAAAUUUUUAAUAACCCAUCUCUGCCAGAAAAAAAGACCCCCCAAAAGUUACAGAUUAACCAUCUGUGAACAAAGGAUGAAUGGGCGGACAGGCUGACACAGUCACGUUACUGGAAUCCAUUAUGCAGUCACCGCUUGGCAUCUGCAGGAAAUUAGUUCCAGGCCCCCUGACCAAUACCAAAAUGCGUAGAUGCUUAAGUCCCUGAUAUAAAGUGAUGUAGUAUUUGCAUUUAACCUACACACAUCCUCCCACAUACUUUAAGUCAUCUCCAGAUUACGUAUAAUACCUAAUUCAAGGCCAGGCACAGUAGCUCACACCUGUAAUUCCAGCACUUUGGAAUUACAAAAAUUCCAAAUCUCCAGGCCAAGGUGAGAGGAUCACGUGAGCCCAGGAAUUCAAGACCAGCUUGGGCAACACGGUGAGAGCCUAUUCUUUUCCCCA